Molecule: ribosomal RNA, 740 nt
Filed under: Eudorylaimus carteri
Lineage: Eukaryota; Metazoa; Nematoda; Enoplea; Dorylaimida; Qudsianematidae
Description: SSU rRNA
Rfam family: Eukaryotic small subunit ribosomal RNA
Source: RNAcentral
UGGCAAUUCUAGAGCUAAUACAUGCAAUAAAGCUCUGCCCGCAAGGAACGAGCGCAUUUAUUAGAAUAAAAACCAAUCGAGCUUCGGUUCGUAAUUUGGUGAAUCUGAAUAACUUUGCCAAUCGCACAGUCCUAGUACUGGCGAUGUAUCUUUCAAGUGUCUGCCUUAUCAACUUUCGAUGGUACGCUAUACGCCUACCAUGGUAGUAACGGGUAACGGAGAAUAAGGGUUCGACUCCGGAGAGGGAGCCUGAGAAACGGCUACCACAUCCAAGGAAGGCAGCAGGCGCGCAAAUUACCCACUUCCAGAACGGAGAGGUAGUGACGAAAAAUAACGAGACAGUCCUCUUCGAGGUCUGUCAUCGGAAUGGGUACAAUUUAAAUCCUUUAACGAGGAUCUAUUGGAGGGCAAGUCUGGUGCCAGCAGCCGCGGUAAUUCCAGCUCCAAUAGCGUAUAUUAAAGUUGUUGCGGUUAAAACGCUCGUAGUUGGAUCUGCGGCCUCGAAGAACGGUCCCCCGAAAGGGUGGUCACUGUCUCUUCUAGCCUAAAUUCGAGUUGUCUCUAGGUGCUCUUUACUGAGUGCUUAGAGCGACUAGAACGUUUACUUUGAAAAAAUUAGAGUGCUUAAAGCAGGCGAAAUAGUCUGUAUAAGGUGCAUGGAAUAAUGGAAUAGGAUCUCGGUUCUAUUUUGUUGGUUUUCGGAGCCCGAGAUAUGAUUAAGAGGAACAGACGGGGGGCAU